RNAcentral lists this long non-coding RNA (438 nucleotides) under Gossypium raimondii (Peruvian cotton). RNAcentral describes it as "long non-coding RNA (GRAI_LNC007288)". The record is from RNAcentral. Lineage: Eukaryota; Viridiplantae; Streptophyta; Magnoliopsida; Malvales; Malvaceae.
AAAAUGAAAGUCGACAAGAGAGGAUUCAAGGAGAAUUUCGACAAGAGUGAAAGAAAAGAAAAAGAAGACUGAAGAGGAAGAUCAGAAAAUUUCUACAAUGUGCAAGAUGACACACAAAAAAUCAGAAUUUGGAACUGGGGAAGAGAAAACAAAUUUUAAAAAAGAGAGAAAAAAACAAAAGAAAAUCUGAACUAAAUCAGAUAACCUCUUAAUCUCUCAAUCUGCUGUUGCACUCCCCCACUACAACUCAAACACCCCAAAACCGUCCACCACACUCUCUCCCUAUCCAAAAUCCCUUAAUUUUCUCUCCUCACUUCCCACUACACCUCUACCACAUCGACAUUUCAGUUCUACUCAAACUCUCCACGGCACCACUAGCAAAAAUAUAUCCCCCUUACUAGCGCAGGGACUUGAACUCCAAACCUCCCACACACCAAC